GGAGUCUAUGCCCUCCACACCAUGAAUCCGGGAUGGCUUGUGACUUACUUUGACCAAUAGAAUGUGGCAGAGUGACAUUGUGUGACAUUUGAGGUGAAGUUUCAACAGGACUUGCAGAUUCUUUUUUCAUUGUCUUGAAAAUAAUCUACCAUUGAGGAAGCCCAGAUAACAGGCUGGCUCAGUGGAGGAGAACUGAGGUGCCAAGCGAAAAGACUUGCCAACUGCCGCACACAGAAAUGAGGCUUUCCAGAUCAAACCAGCCCUGGUCAACCAGCCACCUGGUCACAAACAUGAGGAAGCCCAGGUGGAGCAGAGAACAAGAAACAGAUCGAGGAAGAGGCAGAGUAACAACAGCCGGGAAGAAGAUACAGUUUUAUGACUGCCUUUUCACUUAACUGUGUCCUCAUAUGGAAGAGAGGAGAAAAGAGGAGAGGAGGGGAGAGGAUUGCCUCCUUUACUGUAUGUUUUCCACUGAGAUGAAGAUUUUGGUCAUUUCCUCAUUCAUGUUCCUGCUUUUCAAAACCCAAGCAAGAAAGGAAACUUCUACAGUGACUUUCUCAUUAUGAAAUCUUAGCAUUCACUAGUCGGCCAUAAUGGAAAACCAGCCAAAUGGACACAUAUACACUGGUCUGUACCCGCAGAGAAAGAAAUGCAAAUCUCUGUGAUCAGAAAACUAUCCUAUCUUGUACAUUGUUAAAAGUCUGCCUCCAAAAAGUUUACUUCUGGAAUACUGUAAUUGAAUAGAAUCAGGGAUCCUACCUGUGUCCUUCAACUUUCACAUCUUGUCUACUCAAGUAAGGGUUGAAUUUGCAUGACUAUAUCUAAGGUUCGAGGGCUUACCUGUUGGCAGUAGACCCAGUAGUCUAUGAAUGGAAAUGGGCAAACCUGUGACCUCCCAAAACUUUAAUAUGAAAGUUUUGUUUGUGUAUACUCAUGGCAUUAUUCUUUUAAUAAAGAGAUAAUCUAUAUAGUUUUCUUUUUUAAAAGAUACUUUUAUUUCUUUAUUGUUGGGAACUGACACAGCUAAUUUCUUUCUGAAGAGGUUCUUUGGUUGAGAAUGG
This 1061-nucleotide long non-coding RNA is filed under the name Homo sapiens (human). RNAcentral describes it as "HSALNT0064446". Lineage: Eukaryota; Metazoa; Chordata; Mammalia; Primates; Hominidae. The record is from RNAcentral.